This 81-nucleotide transfer RNA is filed under the name Bos taurus (domestic cattle). It matches the Rfam family "tRNA". From Rfam's summary of the family: Transfer RNA (tRNA) molecules are approximately 80 nucleotides in length. Their secondary structure includes four short double-helical elements and three loops (D, anti-codon, and T loops). RNAcentral also lists the same sequence under 1 other name. Lineage: Eukaryota; Metazoa; Chordata; Mammalia; Artiodactyla; Bovidae. The record is from Rfam by way of RNAcentral.
UCCCUAAUGGCUCAGAAGGUAAAGAAUCUGCCUGCAAUGCAGAAGACACAGGAGACACAGGUUCAAUCCCUGAAUUGGGAA